CAGCCGCCGCGGGAAUACGUAUGUCACAAGCGUUAUCCGGAUUUAUUGGGCGUAAAGCGCGUCUAGGUGGUUAUGUAAGUCUGAUGUGAAAAUGCAGGGCUCAACUCUGUAUUGCGUUGGAAACUGUGUACCUAGAGUACUGGAGAGGUAAGCGGAACUACAAGUGUAGAGGUGAAAUUCGUAGAUAUUUGUAGGAAUGCCGAUGGGGAAGCCAGCUUACUGGACAGAUACUGACGCUAAAGCGCGAAAGCGUGGGUAGCAAACAGGAUUAGAUACCCCCGUAGUCCCUGUCUCUUAUACA
RNAcentral lists this ribosomal RNA (301 nucleotides) under uncultured bacterium. Its description in RNAcentral is "partial 16S ribosomal RNA". It matches the Rfam family "Bacterial small subunit ribosomal RNA", at positions 509 to 808 of the family's 1533-position model. The record is from RNAcentral.